GUGAGGAAUAUUGGACAAUGGAUGGAAAUCUGAUCCAGCCAUGCCGCGUGCAGGAAGGCGGCCCUAUGGGUUGUAAACUGCUUUUGUACGGGAGCAAUAAGGUCUACGAGUAGAUUGAUGAGAGUACUGUACGAAUAAGCAUCGGCUAACUCCGUGCCAGCAGCCGCGGUAAUACGGAGGAUGCGAGCGUUAUCCGGAUUUAUUGGGUUUAAAGGGUGCGUAGGCUGUUAUGUAAGUCAGUGGUAAAAGGUACAGGCUUAACUUGUAUAUGCCAUUGAAACUGUAUAGCUAGGAUAUGGAUGAAGUGUGCGGAAUGUGUGGUGUAGCGGUGAAAUGCAUAGAUAUCACACAGAACACCGAUAGCGAAGGCAGCACACUAAGGCAAUAUUGACGCUGAGGCACGAAAGUGUGGGGAUCAAACAGGAUUAGAUACCCGGGUAGUCC
Molecule: ribosomal RNA, 444 nt
Filed under: uncultured bacterium
Lineage: Bacteria
Description: partial 16S ribosomal RNA
Rfam family: Bacterial small subunit ribosomal RNA
Source: RNAcentral